Molecule: ribosomal RNA, 499 nt
Filed under: uncultured bacterium
Lineage: Bacteria
Description: bacterial SSU rRNA
Rfam family: Bacterial small subunit ribosomal RNA
Source: RNAcentral
UCCCUCGGGAUGUAAACUUCGCAAGAACGGGAAGAAUAAGUAGGGGACAAUACCCCCUAUGAUGACGGUACCGUUUGUAAGCUCCGGCUAACUCCGUGCCAGCAGCCGCGGUAAUACGGGGGGAGCAAGCGUUGUUCGGAUUUACUGGGCGUAAAGGGCGCGUAGGCGGCCAGCACAAGUCAGUUGUGAAAUCUCCGAGCUUAACUCGGAAAGGUCAACUGAUACUGUGCGGCUAGAGUGCGGAAGGGGCAACUGGAAUUCUUGGUGUAGCGGUGAAAUGCGUAGAUAUCAAGAGGAACACCUGCGGCGAAGGCGGGUUGCUGGGCCGACACUGACGCUGAGGCGCGAAAGCUAGGGGAGCGAACGGGAUUAGAUACCCCGGUAGUCCUAGCCUUGAACGAUGAAUGCUUGGUGUCUGGGGUUAUAAAGUCCCCGGGUGCCGUCGCUAACGCUUUAAGCAUUCCGCCUGGGGAGUACGGUCGCAAGACUGAAACUCAAA